CAGGAUGAACGCUAGCGGCAGGCUUAACACAUGCAAGUCGAGGGGCAUCGCGGGUGGCAACACCUGGCGGCGACCGGCGAACGGGUGAGUAACGCGUGAGCAACAUGUCCUCAGUCGGGGGAUAAGCGAGGGAAACUUCGUCUAAUACCCCAUAACACUUUCAGGCGCAUGCCUUUAAGUUGAAAGCUUUUUUUGCGACUUUGGUUUGGCUCGCGUGACAUUAGCUAGUCGGUGGGGUAACGGCUCACCGAGGCUACGAUGUCUAGGGGUUCUGAGAGGAAGGCCCCCCACAUUGGGACUGGGACACGGCCCAAACUCCUACGGGAGGCAGCAGUGAGGAAUAUUGGUCAAUGGACGGAAGUCUGAACCAGCCAUGCCGCGUGAAGGAAGACUGCCCUAUGGGUUGUAAACUUCUUUUGCAGCAGAGCAAUAAGGCGUACGCGUACGCCGAUGAGAGUAUGUUGCGAAUAAGCAUCGGCUAACUCCGUGCCAGCAGCCGCGGUAAUACGGAGGAUGCGAGCGUUAUCCGGAUUUAUUGGGUUUAAAGGGUGCGUAGGCUGUUUUGUAAGUCAGCGGUGAAAGACCGGGGCCCAACUCCG
RNAcentral lists this ribosomal RNA (599 nucleotides) under uncultured bacterium. RNAcentral describes it as "bacterial SSU rRNA". It matches the Rfam family "Bacterial small subunit ribosomal RNA", at positions 25 to 617 of the family's 1533-position model. The record is from RNAcentral.